CCUACGGGUGACUGCAGUGAGGAAUAUUUGUCAAUGGACGCAAGUCUGAACCAGCCAUGCCGCGUGAGGGAAGAAGGCUCUAUGAGUUGUAAACUGCUUUUGUCCGGGGGUAAACGCAUAUACGCGUAUCUGUCUGAAAGUAUCGUACGGAUAAGGAUCGGCUAACUCCGUUCCAGCAGCCGCGGGAAUAAGGAGGAUUCCAGCGUUAUCCGGAUUUAUUGGGUUUAAAGGGUGCGUAGGCGGUCGGCUAAGUUAGAGGUGAAAUCCCGAGGCUCAACGUCGGAAUUGCCUCUGAUACUGGUCGGCUAGAGAGUAGUUGCGGUAGGCGGAAUGCAUGGUGUAGCGGUGAAAUGCUUAGAGAUCAUACAGAACACCGAUUGCGAAGGCAGCUUACCAGGCUACAUCUGACGCUGAGGCACGAAAGCGUGGGUAGCAAACAGGAUUAGAUACCCGGGUAGUC
This 460-nucleotide ribosomal RNA is filed under the name uncultured bacterium. RNAcentral's name for it is "partial 16S ribosomal RNA". It matches the Rfam family "Bacterial small subunit ribosomal RNA", at positions 338 to 795 of the family's 1533-position model. The record is from RNAcentral.